Molecule: small RNA, 366 nt
Filed under: Arabidopsis thaliana (thale cress)
Lineage: Eukaryota; Viridiplantae; Streptophyta; Magnoliopsida; Brassicales; Brassicaceae
Description: putative long intergenic non-coding RNA
Source: RNAcentral
UUGUUCCAUGCAUGCUUGUGUGUUUCAUUCUCUGUUUCCUUGCGUGCCUGUUUAACUUCUUGCUUAGUUGUUUGGUUCUUACUUGCUUCCUUGUUUUCUUCUUUCAAUCCUUACUAGCCUCUUCCUUCCUUGCUUGUUUGUUUCCUUCCUUGGUUCCAUGUGUGCUUGUUGAUUUCUUUCCUAGGUUCCAUGUGUGCUUGUUGAUUUCUUUCCUAGGUUUCCAUGUGUGCUUGUUGAUUUCUUUCUUAGGUUCCAUGUGUGCUUGUUGAUUUCUUUCCUAGGUUCCAUGUGUGCUUGUUUGUUUAUUUCCUUGGUUCCAUGCGUGCUUGAUUAUUUUUUUUCUUGUGUGCUUGUUUUUUUCUUUUU